This 456-nucleotide ribosomal RNA is filed under the name uncultured bacterium. RNAcentral describes it as "bacterial SSU rRNA". It matches the Rfam family "Bacterial small subunit ribosomal RNA", at positions 1036 to 1498 of the family's 1533-position model. The record is from RNAcentral.
AGGUGCUGCACGGCUGUCGUCAGCUCGUGUCGUGAGAUGUUGGGUUAAGUCCCGCAACGAGCGCAACCCUCGUGUUUAGUUACUAACAGUUCGGCUGAGGACUCUAGACAGACUGCCUGGGUAACCAGGAGGAAGGUGAGGACGACGUCAAGUCAUCAUGGCCCUUACGGCCAGGGCUACACACGUGCUACAAUGGGGUAUACAAAGAGCCGCGAUACCGUGAGGUGGAGCAAAUCUCAUAAAAUAUCUCCCAGUUCGGAUAGCAGUCUGCAACUCGACUGCUUGAAGUUGGAAUCGCUAGUAAUCGUAGAUCAGCAAUGCUACGGUGAAUACGUUCCCGGGUCUUGUACUCACCGCCCGUCACACCAUGGGAAUUGAAUUCAUUCGAAGCGGGGAUGCUAAAAUAGCUACCUUCCACAGUGGAUUUAGUAACUAGGGUGAAGUCGUAACAAGGUA